Molecule: long non-coding RNA, 1182 nt
Organism: Ornithodoros turicata
Lineage: Eukaryota; Metazoa; Arthropoda; Arachnida; Ixodida; Argasidae
Exons: 2
Source: RefSeq, a predicted model, not a curated record
UGUUACCUGUCGUCGCUAUCCAGAGAUUUCCUCGCGAGCACAGCAGUGAUGCAGUAAUAGAGGACAAUGAUCCUUAUUCUACGGAUCCGUUGCAACGACACCGAGACGAACGAGACGAAAAUGGUCGCGACGAUCAUACGCCGUUCGUCAGUUACGAGUAGCUUCUCGAUUCAGUGCUUGACAGACGCCCACUUCAAAAACAACAGCCCAACAGCUGCUUCUGCGGGUUAUGCAAUCGGAGGAGCCGAACGUGUAUUGUGUUGCCGUGCAGUGGGCCCGGUAGCGACGCUCUGCACUAGCACAUUGUUCUAGUGCAUUACGGAGCAUCCUCUUUUUUCCCCGACCUAUGCUACCGGCUGCAACUUCCUGCUCCAACAGCCAACAGGUGUCUAUGAUUCACCAGCUGGAUCUGGGACUACCUGGAUGCGCUCUUGCUCGUCCAAUCGCCAUAUGAGGGUACAAACACAUUCAGAAGGAUAACAUAUUCCAUUGACAUGUUAUAGCUUACCUUACUAUGGAUACCAAUUCUUUUACAGUGCAGUAUAUUGUUAACACUAUGAGAUACUAUGAGUUUUGCUACUUGCCUGUAUUUGGAGCAAACUUGCGAAGUGGAGUAGUUCGUACUGAGCGAGCAUCCUCCAACAGGAAGAGACAGGGACACGAACACGCACAGCAAGACAAUCUGCUAUAUUAGCAACUAAGUAAAAGAUUACUAGAAGAAGCUGCUCACAGUUUUUCCAGAAGAGAUCCCAGAUUUUCCAGGUCUUGCACCUGUGCUCUUAAAUGUUAAUCCAAGUAAAGGAAAUGUCUUUGUUGUAUUCUGUCAUGGAGUUGCUAUAGUGAAGCAGAUAGUCUUGUUGCACAUGUUUGUGUCCCUGUCUUUUGCUGGUUGAAGAUGAUUGCCUGCAUUUGUAGGACGUACAUGUGUUUGCACACUUAUUCCAUUGUAUGCAGGUUUCUUUCAUAUAAAUUGCUGCUCUUUGCAUCCUUGUGCUCCACAGCAAUCCCGUGUUGCAAACUAACAAGCUGCAAGUAAAUCUUUCUGAUCAGUCCAGUUGUAACUCGUGUCAGUCAGCAUAACAUUGAGACAUGUCUCAUUCCUGCUGUCCAUGUCUUGUUACAGCUCUGUAAUGUGGUGUAGACGUACGUUGGGAACUGCACAAUAAAAGGAUAAGCAAAGCA